CAGGAAGACGCGAACGGCGGGAGACAUGGGAGAGCGAGGAUAAAGAGAGAGUGGGUCAUUCCUCCACCACACCUGGAAGAAAACAAGGAUUACACGAGGAAGGCGUUCAUUGCCAAGAUAAGAUCUGACAAAGCGGAGCCAACUGAGAAGUUGAUCUACGACUUACAUGGGCCUGGUGCUGACCUGCCGCCAGUGAACUUGUUCAUCCUUAACCAAACAAGCGGCUUUGUCAGAAUUACUGGAAUUUUGGACAGAGAAGCCAUUGCAAACUACACACUAUCUGCCUCUGCACGAUUUCUAAGGAACUUGACAUUAGCAGAAGACUAUCUCACGAUGAAAAUUGUCGUUACUGACG
Molecule: long non-coding RNA, 355 nt
Organism: Anguilla anguilla (European eel)
Lineage: Eukaryota; Metazoa; Chordata; Actinopteri; Anguilliformes; Anguillidae
Exons: 3
Source: RefSeq, a predicted model, not a curated record